UUUUUAAAACAAACAAAACUUUUAUGGUCCAAAACAGUUUUUCUCAAGAAUCUGCUCUAUGCAAACAGUAACAACUUUUUACAAAGCAUUUUCACAGAAAAGGAGACAAGUCCUUCCCCAGCGUGGGAACUGUUCCUCUCUCACCUCGUUUUCGGGGGGAAGAGGGGGCGCUAUUCACUAGUGCGGGGCAGAAGGGGCACUGGGUCCCUCAGUUGUUCGGCAGAUUUAAAAGCCCCAGCUUCCCUUCACACCUCAACUUGCCAUCUGCCUAAGACCUAACCUCCCCUGACCUCACCUGGGUGGAGGAGAAAACGCUUCCAACCCUCUCUGACUCAAGAUCCUCCUAGCUGGAGGGUAUGGCAGAGGGCGUGAUCCAGGCCUAUCUCACCCCUCCCCUGGAAAACAGAACCUCUGACCCCAAACCUAAUCCCCUGGCCCUGCCCCCUUCGGAUCCAUCAGAUCUCUGACAACUCCCGCAAUGCCUGAGGCUGGGACAUGUUGCGGGGGAAGCUUAAGGUACCUCAGCGCAGAUCCCAUCCAGACUCAAACUUUGUCCUUUCAAACCCCAGGGGACUCUUGCAGUUAGGCCAAGAGUCCUUUCAUUUACCACCUCUGCAAAGUGCAGCUUGUUUUGUUUCCACUCUUUAAGGGGGCUGAGUUUGGGUGUCCAAGAAUGGACUCGGGCCUGCCUUCCACCUCCACCUCCUCUCAUCCAUAAAUCGGUGGAGGCCCUCGAAAGGCGACUUGUUUGGUCUGAUUUUAUUGAUUUCUUCCACCUUCUAUUACUUUCCCUGGGACAGUGUCUUGCCCCUUCCCCAGGCAAAGUAAGCACUUUUCUGGAGAGGAGGUCCCUCAGCCCUACCCGUCCUAAGGAAAGUAAGUUGGGGGAGAGGGCUGAUUAAUCAAGGUUGGGGGGAAUCUUUCUCACCGGCCAGACCUUACACUCGGAAAGCAAACAGGGAAAAAGAUGGGAACUCCAAAACUGGACAAAAGGGAAAGGUCGGCGGCUGAGACUGAAGAUCUCACCAAUUAGGGGUCACCUGCACUUGAGGGGGCCUAGAAAGGGGACAGGAAGGGGGUGAUCUACCUCUUACCCAAGCUCCCUCACCCAUUGAAGGCUCCAACGGUGCUUGGAGCGUUAGGGAAGGCCUGAGGGGAGCAAAGGGUUAAAGGCCUGGACAGUGGGGGUGGGAGAUGCCCCCAGGGAGCUGCCAAUCAUCUCCCCACCCCCACCGCAGCCCCCGCACCCCAGGCUCGCCCACAAACACAGUAACAACCGUUUUGUCCAUCACCGAGGUCUCUCUCCUCUCCUUUUUUUGGGGGGGUGGGGGCUGUCUUUGAGCGGUGGCCUCCUUUGCUCCCACUGGGGUGCAGGCCCUGCCUCCAACGGUCCGAGAUGGAAGGGGGCAGGGAUUGGAAUCUAUGUCAUCAGCCUUUCUUGCUUAAGCCUUCUCCCGACUCCAGCCCUGGGUUUCUUUGCAAAGGAUGAGGGGGAGGGACUGUCACCCCGAACACUUAGGUGCUUGAAGAUCACUGUCAUUUAGGUUCCUCUGCCCACAGCUCCUAAAAUGUAAAGGAAGGGGACAAAUGUGAGAAACGGGGCUCUCUCCUCAAGCCCGCGGUUUGGCCAUGGUCCCAACUUUUCCCCUUUGGCAGAAGUCCCACGGUCAGCUUUCAUCCAUGUUGAUCCCCCAGAAUUUGAGGCCAGGGGGCUCAGGGACAGCGGGACCCCCC
This 1734-nucleotide long non-coding RNA is filed under the name Macaca fascicularis (crab-eating macaque). Its description in RNAcentral is "lncRNA (ENSMFAG00000062550.1)". The record is from RNAcentral. Lineage: Eukaryota; Metazoa; Chordata; Mammalia; Primates; Cercopithecidae.